UUUUGUUCUGGUGGUGUGAUGUCAUAAGGAUGCGGCGCGCUUCUGCGUCUGUAUUUCAGAUCAGCGAAGAUUGUCCGCACACAGAGAAACAAACACUGGUGAAACAGCUGAGAUUCAUGACACACGGUUAUAAAGAUGGCCUUUAUUAAAGAGGAGACUGAAGAAGUGAAGAUUGAAGAAACAUUGAGUCUGAAACAAGAAGAUACUGAGGAACAAACAGACCUGAUGCCACUGAAAGAGGAGAGUCAAGAAGUGAAUGUAAAGAAAGAACACAAUCUGUAUGAAAAUUUUGAUUUCACAACUGGAGAAAAAACUUCUGGUUGCUCACUGACUGAAAAGACAUCCACACAAAAUAGAAGUCGCUCCUGCAUUCAGUGUGGAAAGUUUUUCUCUAGUCAUACGUACCUUGAUGUCCAUAUGAGAAUUCACAAAGGAGAGAAGCCUUUUACAUGCAUACAGUGUGGAAGGAGUUUCACUGCCAAAGGAAGCCUAAACAGGCACAUGAGCAUUCACACUAGAGAAAAGCAGUUCACCUGCAAACAAUGUGGAAAACAUUUCUCUAAAAGGGGUCAUCUUAAAGAUCACAUGAGUGUUCACACUGCAAAGAGACCUUUCAUCUGCUCUCAAUGUGGUAAAGGUUUCUAUCAAAGAAAAAUACUUGAAAAACAUGAGACAUUAUACUGUAGGCAGAAGCCUUACAUAUGUCCAUACUGUGAAAAGAGUUUUAGACAUAAAGCAAAACUGAACACCCAUUUGAGAACCCACACUGGAGAAAACACGUUCAAAUGUGAUAAGUGUGGAAAGAGCUUCAGAUAUAAAGCAACAUUGAACACCCAUUUGAGAGACCACACUGGAGAAAACCCGUUCGUAUGCGAUCAGUGUGGAAAGGGCUUCAGAAGUAAAGUAAAUCUUACAAUGCACAAAAGAGUUCACAUUGUUCACAAACCAGAUGGACCUGAAAUGUCAGUUGCAAUCCCAUCAGUAGCACACUGUUUUCUAUUAAAAAAGUAAUAUACUAUAGAAAAUCAUGCAUUCUGGUCAUUAUCUUCUAAUUUCUGUGUUGGCAAAAUUACUGUGAAUCAAAGGGAAUGUAUUGUGGCCAUUUUAUCUAGAUGUAAUAUAACAGGCAUCCCCAAAAUGUGUGUGAUUCAGCUCAGAAUACCCCAUAGAUCAUUUAUUAUUUCACUGAGAAUUACCAUUUUUGAGUGGAAGAAAAAACAUGCUAUUUCUGUGCUUUUCUUUAAAUUUAAAUGAGCUGUUGUUCCCCACAAACCUUCCUAGAAUAAGGUUAUGUCUUAAAUCUUGGAUAAUCUGGCAAAAUAAAACACAUAUUUGUUUUGGAUUA
This is a long non-coding RNA of Carassius auratus (goldfish), 1345 nucleotides long. RefSeq lists it as uncharacterized. Lineage: Eukaryota; Metazoa; Chordata; Actinopteri; Cypriniformes; Cyprinidae. The transcript is spliced from 3 exons. The record is from RefSeq and is a predicted model, not a curated record.